GACAAAUCAUCCAUCUUUGGAAGCUCAACAGAAGAUGGUGUCUUGAACAUCUGGGAUCACAAUAAGGUUGGUGAACGUUCUGGUCCAGCCUCAAAGUUUGCACCUGGCUUAUUGUUCAGACACUCUGGACAUAGGGAUAAGGUGGUUGAUUUCCACUGGAACUCGCAUGAUCCAUGGACAAUUGUCAGUGUGUCGGAUGAUGGUGAAAGCACAGGUGGCGGUGGAACUCUACAGGUAUGUAUAU
Molecule: RNA transcript, 244 nt
Organism: Lactuca sativa (garden lettuce)
Lineage: Eukaryota; Viridiplantae; Streptophyta; Magnoliopsida; Asterales; Asteraceae
Source: RefSeq, a predicted model, not a curated record